UACGUAGGGUGCGAGCGUUAAUCGGAAUUACUGGGCGUAAAGCGUGCGCAGGCGGUUAUGUAAGACAGAUGUGAAAUCCCCGGGCUCAACCUGGGAACUGCAUUUGUGACUGCAUGGCUAGAGUACGGUAGAGGGGGAUGGAAUUCCGCGUGUAGCAGUGAAAUGCGUAGAUAUGCGGAGGAACACCGAUGGCGAAGGCAAUCCCCUGGACCUGUACUGACGCUCAUGCACGAAAGCGUGGGGAGCAAACAAGAUUAGAUACCCCAGUAGUCC
This 273-nucleotide ribosomal RNA is filed under the name uncultured Delftia sp. RNAcentral's name for it is "partial 16S ribosomal RNA". It matches the Rfam family "Bacterial small subunit ribosomal RNA", at positions 524 to 796 of the family's 1533-position model. The record is from RNAcentral. Lineage: Bacteria; Pseudomonadati; Pseudomonadota; Betaproteobacteria; Burkholderiales; Comamonadaceae.